UCAAUAAACCUGUAGGAACUUGAGGUAGUUUGUAUGCGACUCUAGUCUUGAGUUAAGGUUGUUUGGAAGAAGUUUCAAUAGGUUAACGACUGGUUAUUGAUAGGUCAAAGGUCAGAUAAAGAUGGCGGCGGAAGGUGUUGUGAAAGAUGUUGGUGAGAUCCAUGCCCGACUGUUGGACCACAGGCCUGUGGUGCAGGGAGAGAUCAAGUGCUUCAUAAGGGAGUUUGAGGGGAAGAGGAACCACCGUGAGGAGGAGAGACUGGAGGCUGUUCUGGGCCAUGCCCAACAGAUGGGACAAACUAUCCCAGCAUGCACCAUGCUCCUGGAGGACAACCUGGCACAGGUCACAGCUAACUUGAGAGUUGCCACAUCAAUGUGCGAGAAGAUCAGUGAAACAGAGGAGAAAAUGGCAAAGGCUGACCCCCUGAAGAACAGAAGGGAAGGGAGGAAGCAGGAGUGGGAUGCCUUCAUGUCGGACCAGUUCGGUCGGAGUGCAGAGGUCGACCGCGAACACGAGAUUCUGUGUGACAAAAUCACGGAACAGCACAGACUGAAGGAGGAACUGCUGAAAGAGGGGAAAGUGUCUAUGCCAUGAUCUUUCCAUUUUUACUCAUUCAAUGAACAUUGCAGAAAUAAUUAUAGUGAAGAUAUUCAUGGAUUAUGUUACUGGUUCUAAAAUGGUAAGAAUUAAACUGAGAAUUCAAAACGACACUGAGAAUUAGAAAAAUCUAUUGUGCAAUUUAUUAUACUGAAAUAAAAAUUUGAGUGUAAUGGUUUUGACAAGUGUUGCUACCAGACUGAGUACAUUUGGUGGUUCUACAGAAAUUAUGAUCAUCAUCAUUAGCAAAACAUAUAUAUUGGCAAAUGUUCAGGCCAAUAUACUGUUGUGUGUAAAGGUAAUUAAGGAGUAAAGGCACUUAUUCCUUUCAUCUGCUCUGCAAUAAACACUAUAAGUUGAUAACUGAAUAGUACAGAGUAUAUUAUAGAUUACUUUGCUUGUUAUCAAUAUUGUGAGAAUUAAAUAUUGAAAUUUUAUGAUAUGAUAUGAUACUAGGAAUUUGACAAAUUCUUUAUACUUUUGAUGAUCAGAAAUAAAAUAUCAUAUCAGUGAGCUUUUCAGAAGUAAGUGCUUCUAAUAUAAGGUACAGGUGGAAAGUAUGGCUAGAAUACUACAUGUCAUUCUAGUAAACUUUGUUCGAAGAAGUGGAUAUUCCAAGUUGAAUGUAAUAUAAUGUGUUUGGAAAUUUCCGAAUGUAUUGUAAUGUAUGAUUAGAAACUUAAUUUCAAAUGCUCUACCUCUAUGGUUAGAAUAAUUCCUCAUUCAGUACAGUGAGUUUAGAUAAAUUACAUUCCAUCUACGAAA
RNA transcript from Branchiostoma floridae (Florida lancelet), 1363 nucleotides. It is a transcript of the gene named biogenesis of lysosome-related organelles complex 1 subunit 5-like, with no coding region annotated. NCBI's taxonomy places the organism in Eukaryota, Metazoa, Chordata, Leptocardii, Amphioxiformes, Branchiostomatidae. The record is from RefSeq and is a predicted model, not a curated record. The transcript has 7 exons.